UAGGUUAAGGUCAGGAUUAGCUAAGG
RNAcentral lists this non-coding RNA (26 nucleotides) under Homo sapiens (human). Lineage: Eukaryota; Metazoa; Chordata; Mammalia; Primates; Hominidae. The record is from RNAcentral.